CGGUGCUGUGGGUCAGGGACAACGGCCCCGGCAUCGCCGCCGAGAAGCUGGAGCGGCUGUUCCGGCCGUUCGAGCGGGUCGACAACGCC
Molecule: transfer RNA, 89 nt
Filed under: Alphaproteobacteria bacterium SO-S41
Lineage: Bacteria; Pseudomonadati; Pseudomonadota; Alphaproteobacteria
Description: tRNA-Ala
Source: RNAcentral